RNAcentral lists this ribosomal RNA (383 nucleotides) under uncultured Leptolinea sp. Its description in RNAcentral is "bacterial SSU rRNA". It matches the Rfam family "Bacterial small subunit ribosomal RNA", at positions 984 to 1382 of the family's 1533-position model. The record is from RNAcentral. Lineage: Bacteria; Bacillati; Chloroflexota; Anaerolineae; Anaerolineales; Anaerolineaceae.
ACAUGCAAGUGGUAGGAAACCGAAAGGCGACCGACCUUCGGGAGCUUGCACAGGUGCUGCAUGGCUGUCGUCAGCUCGUGUCGUGAGAUGUUCGGUUAAGUCCGCUAACGAGCGCAACCCUCGCUGUGUGUUACAAGUGUCACACGGUACUGCCGGUCUUAAGCCGGAGGAAGGUGGGGAUGACGUCAAGUCAGCAUGGCCUUUAUGUCCUGGGCUACACACACGCUACAAUGGCCAACACAAUAGGUUGCUAAGCCGCGAGGUGGAGCCAAUCCUCAAAGUUGGUCUCAGUUCAGAUUGCAGGCUGCAACCCGCCUGCAUGAAGAUGGAGUUGCUAGUAACCGCAGGUCAGCUAUACUGCGGUGAAUACGUUCCCGGGGCUU